This 886-nucleotide ribosomal RNA is filed under the name Epizoanthus scotinus. RNAcentral describes it as "partial 16S ribosomal RNA". It matches the Rfam family "Bacterial large subunit ribosomal RNA", at positions 1641 to 2531 of the family's 2925-position model. The record is from RNAcentral. Lineage: Eukaryota; Metazoa; Cnidaria; Anthozoa; Zoantharia; Epizoanthidae.
ACUGUACUAAACUAACCAAAGUGGGGGAUAGUGAGAGGGAUAAAUUUUCUUAAGGAACUCGGCCAAAUCCUAAUGCCCAUCAGGGUAUAUAUCAGAACAUGGGCCUCGACUGUUUACCAAAAACAUAGCUCUCAGCCAAUAUGAAAGUAGAAGUAUGGAGGGUGAGGCCUGCCCAAUGGUUGUAUCUAAAAACGGUUGAUAAAAGUCGACUUCAUAAGGACAAUUGAAUGGCCGCGGUAACACUGACCGUGAUAAUGUAGCGUAAUCAAUAGCCAAUUAAUUGUUGGCCAGUAUGAAUGGCGUCACGAAGGCCCCACUGUCUUAAGAGAAUUCCCAGUGAAAUUGAAUUCGUAGUGAAGAUGCUACGUCCAAUUUGUCAGACGAAAAGACCCCAUUGAGCUUUACUGGAGACUUACAUUGCUCGGAUCAACUCUCGCCCCCCCCUUGGCGGGGGGUCGAAUUUAAAUGGAUAGCUUAGAUUAUGUGGUGUUAUAACCGUCGAUCAAGUAGUCCCUACGGGAUUGCCCCCGAAGGUUGACCUGUUUGGGUGAAUGAAACCCCACUCUUUUUUGUUAAAUGAGCUAACCCCUUAAAGGGGGACAAUGUAAGUUGGACAGUUUGGUUGGGGCGACCGCCUUUUAAAGAGUAACGAAGGUGUGCUUAAGGUACACAAUCAAUAACACAAGCCUGACUGCGAGGGGGACCCUCCGAGCAGACACCUAAAGUCUUCUCCCUUCCCCCCGAAGGUUAAAGACGAAUGGUGGGUUAUAGUGACCCGUUAAUUUAGAGUGGAAUAGUUAACGAUCAACGAAUAAAAGUUACCAUGGGGAUAACAGCGUAAUAUCGUUAGAGAGUUUACAUCGACGACGAUGUUGCGACCUCGAUG